GAUGAACGCUGGCGGCGUGCCUAACACAUGCAAGUCGAACGGGGUAUUGCGGAAAGCGGCUUCGGCCAAUGGAAGCAAUACUUAGUGGCGGACGGGUGAGUAACGCGUGAGCAACCUGCCUCUGACCGGGGGAUAGCAGCUGGAAACGGCUGGUAAUACCGCAUAAGCCCACAGCACCGCAUGGUGCAGGGGGAAAAACUCCGGUGGUCAGAGAUGGGCUCGCGUCUGAUUAGCCAGUUGGCGGGGUAACGGCCCACCAAAGCGACGAUCAGUAGCCGGCCUGAGAGGGCGGACGGCCACAUUGGGACUGAGACACGGCCCAAACUCC
This 328-nucleotide ribosomal RNA is filed under the name uncultured Butyrivibrio sp. RNAcentral describes it as "bacterial SSU rRNA". It matches the Rfam family "Bacterial small subunit ribosomal RNA", at positions 28 to 339 of the family's 1533-position model. The record is from RNAcentral. Lineage: Bacteria; Bacillati; Bacillota; Clostridia; Lachnospirales; Lachnospiraceae.